This 235-nucleotide ribosomal RNA is filed under the name uncultured bacterium. RNAcentral's name for it is "partial 16S ribosomal RNA". It matches the Rfam family "Bacterial small subunit ribosomal RNA", at positions 100 to 334 of the family's 1533-position model. The record is from RNAcentral.
CGGGACGGGUGAGUAACGCGUGGGUAACCUGCCUUGUACUGGGGGACAACAGUUAGAAAUGACUGCUAAUACCGCAUAAGCGCACAGUAUCGCAUGAUACAGUGUGAAAAACUCCGGUGGUACAAGAUGGACCCGCGUCUGAUUAGCUAGUUGGUAAGGUAAGGCUUACCAAGGCGACGAUCAGUAGCCGACCUGAGAGGGUGACCGGCCACAUUGGGACUGAGACACGGCCCAA